GCAUAGGAUGAAGCUGGACAAUAAGGGACGGAUUUCUGCGGUUUUCUUUCCAUAAACGUCCAACCAUGCUCAUUUUCCCUGCCCUCCGAAGGCAGAGGUCACAGGUUCGAAUCCUGUCGGGUGCGCCA
This 128-nucleotide transfer RNA is filed under the name Altererythrobacter arenosus. RNAcentral describes it as "Altererythrobacter sp. CAU 1644 tRNA-Arg". The record is from RNAcentral. Lineage: Bacteria; Pseudomonadati; Pseudomonadota; Alphaproteobacteria; Sphingomonadales; Erythrobacteraceae.